This 855-nucleotide ribosomal RNA is filed under the name uncultured Bacillota bacterium. RNAcentral's name for it is "bacterial SSU rRNA". It matches the Rfam family "Bacterial small subunit ribosomal RNA", at positions 70 to 902 of the family's 1533-position model. The record is from RNAcentral. Lineage: Bacteria; Bacillati; Bacillota.
AAAGUCCCCUUCGGGGGGCGAGUAGAGUGGCGUCCGGGUGAGUAACACGUAGGUAAUCUACCUUUGGGUGGGGAAUAACGCAGGGAAACUUGCGCUAAUACCGCAUAAUGCAGCGGCACCACAUGGUGACAGUUGUUAAAGCGGGGGAUUUUCGAACCUCGCGCCUAAAGAGGAGCCUGCGGCAGAUUAGCUAGUUGGUAAGGUAACGGCUUACCAAGGCAACGAUCUGUAGCCGGCCUGAGAGGGCGGUCGGCCACACUGACACUGACAUACGGGUCAGACUCCUACGGGAGGCAGCAGUCGGGAAUUUUGGGCAAUGGGCGAAAGCCUGACCCAGCAACGCCGCGUGAAGGAUGAAAUCCCUCGGGAUGUAAACUUCGCAAGAAUAGGAAGAAUUAGCGAGUACUAAUACUGCUCGUGAUGACGGUACUAUUUGUAAGCUCCGGCUAACUCCGUGCCAGCAGCCGCGGUAAUACGGGGGGAGCAAGCGUUGUUCGGAUUUACUGGGCGUAAAGGGCGCGUAGGCGGUCAGCACAAGUCAGUUGUGAAAUCUCCGGGCUUAACUCGGAAAGGUCAACUGAUACUGUGCGACUAGAGUGCAGAAGGGGCAACUGGAAUUCUCGGUGUAGCGGUGAAAUGCGUAGAUAUCGAGAGGAACACCUGCGGCGAAGGCGGGUUGCUGGGCUGACACUGACGCUGAUGCGCGAAAGCCAGGGGAGCGAACGGGAUUAGAUACCCCGGUAGUCCUGGCCUUAAACGAUGGAUGCUUGGUGUCUGGAGUUUUAUAGUCUCCGGGUGCCGUAGCUAACGCGUUAAGCAUCCCGCCUGGGGAGUACGGUCGCAAGACUGAAACUC